Molecule: ribosomal RNA, 255 nt
Filed under: uncultured bacterium
Lineage: Bacteria
Description: partial 16S ribosomal RNA
Rfam family: Bacterial small subunit ribosomal RNA
Source: RNAcentral
UACGUAGGGUGCGAGCGUUAAUCGGAAUUACUGGGCGUAAAGCGUGCGCAGGCGGUUCGUUAAGUUCGUCGUGAAAGCCCCGGGCUCAACCUGGGAACUGCGAUGGAAACUGGCGGGCUUGAGUAUGGCAGAGGGGGGUGGAAUUCCGCGUGUAGCAGGUGAAAUGCGUAGAGAUGCGGAGGAACACCGAUGGCGAAGGCAGCCCCCUGGGCCAAUACUGACGCCUCAUGCACGAAAGCGUGGGGAGCAAACAGG